AGUGAACGCUGGCGGUAGGCCUAACACAUGCAAGUCGAACGGCAGCACAGUAAGAGCUUGCUCUUACGGGUGGCGAGUGGCGGACGGGUGAGGAAUACAUCGGACUCUACUUUUUCGUGGGGGAUAACGUAGGGAAACUUACGCUAAUACCGCAUACGACCUACGGGUGAAAGCAGGGGAUCUUCGGACCUUGCGCGAUUGAAUGAGCCGAUGUCGGAUUAGCUAGUUGGCGGGGUAAAGGCCCACCAAGGCGACGAUCCGUAGCUGGUCUGAGAGGAUGAUCAGCCACACUGGAACUGAGACACGGUCCAGACUCCUACGGGAGGCAGCAGUGGGGAAUAUUGGACAAUGGGCGCAAGCCUGAUCCAGCCAUACCGCGUGGGUGAAGAAGGCCUUCGGGUUGUAAAGCCCUUUUGUUGGGAAAGAAAAGCAGCAGGUUAAUACCCAGCUGUUCUGACGGUACCCAAAGAAUAAGCACCGGCUAACUUCGUG
RNAcentral lists this ribosomal RNA (492 nucleotides) under uncultured bacterium. Its description in RNAcentral is "partial 16S ribosomal RNA". It matches the Rfam family "Bacterial small subunit ribosomal RNA", at positions 29 to 507 of the family's 1533-position model. The record is from RNAcentral.